This is a non-coding RNA of Glossina austeni, 71 nucleotides long. The record is from Rfam. NCBI's taxonomy places the organism in Eukaryota, Metazoa, Arthropoda, Insecta, Diptera, Glossinidae.
AGUACGUAAGCGCAGUGGGUCGCGAAUCGUGCAUGCUGCUAUUAAGAACCAGCAGUAUCUUUUGAAGAUUU